AAAACACAGAUGAACGCUAGCGGCAGGCUUAAUACAUGCAAGUCGAACGGGAUUCGGGGUAGCAAUACUUUGAUGAGAGUGGCGCACGGGUGCGUAACGCGUAUGCAACCUACCUUUAACAGGGGAAUAGCCCCGAGAAAUCGGGAUUAAUACUCCGUAACAUUGCGGUGUGGCAUCACACUGCACUUAAAGCUGAGGCGGUUAAAGAUGGGCAUGCGUGACAUUAGCUAGUUGGUGAGGUAACGGCUCACCAAGGCAACGAUGUCUAGGGGUCCUGAGAGGGUUAUCCCCCACACUGGUACUGAGACACGGACCAGACUCCUACGGGAGGCAGCAGUAAGGAAUAUUGGUCAAUGGGCGCAAGCCUGAACCAGCCAUGCCGCGUGCAGGAAGACGGCCCUAUGGGUUGUAAACUGCUUUUGUCAGGGAAUAAACCCCCGCUCGUGAGCGGGGCUGAAGGUACCUGAAGAAUAAGCAUCGGCUAACUCCGUGCCAGC
This 497-nucleotide ribosomal RNA is filed under the name uncultured bacterium. RNAcentral's name for it is "bacterial SSU rRNA". It matches the Rfam family "Bacterial small subunit ribosomal RNA", at positions 28 to 512 of the family's 1533-position model. The record is from RNAcentral.